AUGGAUUUUUCUCCCACUUUUCCCCAUUCCCCAUGGAUUUUUUCCUAUUUCCUGUGGAUUUUUCUCCCACUUUUCCCCAUUUCCCGUGGAUUUUUCCCGUUUUUCCCCAUUUCCUGUGGAUUUUUCCCCAUUUCCCAUGGAUUUUUUCCUAUUUCCCGUGGAUUUUUCUCCCACUUUUCCCCAUUUCCCAUGGAUUUUUCCCCAUUUCCCGUGGAUUUUUCCCCAUUUCCCAUGGAUUUUUCCCUAUUUCCCAUGGAUUUUUCACCAUUUCCCAUGGAUUUUUCCCCAUUUCCCAUGGAUUUUUCCCCAUUUCCCGUGGAUUUUUCCCCAUUUCCCAUGGAUUUUUCCCCAUUUCCCGUGGAUUUUUCCCUAUUUCCCAUGAAUCUCCCAUGGAUUUCCCACCAAUUCCCCAUUUCCCAUGGAUUUUUCCCCAUUUCCCGUGGAUUUUUCCCUAUUUCCCAUGAAUCUCCCAUGGAUUUCCCACCAAUUCCCCAUUUCCCAUGGAUUUUUCUCCCACUUUUCCCCAUUUCCCAUGGAUUUUUCCCCAUGGAUUUUUCCCCAUUUCCCACGAAUCUCCCAUGGAUUUCCCACGGAUUCUCCCCAUUCCCGGGGUUUUUCCCUUCACUUCCCACAGAUUUCUCCCAUUUUUCCCCACCUCCCAUCGACUUUUUCCCCCCUUUUCUGCCCAUUUUCCCCACACUCUCCCCAUUCCCGAUGUUUUUUCCCCCGGAUUCUCCCCAUUCCCGUGGAUUUCCCCCAAAUCCUCCCCAUUCCCAUCAGUUUUCCCCAAAUUCUCCCCAUUCCCAUGGAUUUUCCCCAAAUUCUCCCCAUUCCCGGGGGUUUUUUCCAUGGAUUUCCCCCGUUUCCUGGAUUUUUCUCCCAUUUUCUCCAUUUCCAGCAGGUUUCCCAUGGAUUUUUCCCCAUUUCCCAUGGACUUUCCCCCAAAUUCUCCCCAUUCCCGCUGUUUUUUCCCCAAAUCCUCCCCAUUCCCGUGGAUUUUUCCCCAAAUUCUCCCCAUUCCUGUGGAUUUUUCCCCAAGUUCUCCCCAUUCCCGUGGGUUUUUCCCCGGAUUCUCCCCAUUCCCCAAGUUCUCCCCAUUCCCGUGGGUUUUUCCCCGGAUUCUCCCCAUUCCCAUCAGUUUUUCCCCAAAUUCUCCCCAUUCCUGGUGUUUUUCCCCAAAUUCUCCCCAUUCCCGUGGAUUUUCCCCCGGAUUCUCCCCAUUCCCAGAGUUUUUUUCCCCCAAAUUCUCCCCAUUCCCGUGGAUUUUCCCUGGAUUCUCCCCAUUCCCGUUGUUUUUUCCCCCAGAUCCUCCCCAUUCCCAUGGAUUUUCCCCCAAAUCCUCCCCAUUCCCAUGGAUUUUUCCCCAUUUCCCAUGGAUUUUUCCCCAAAUCCUCCCCAUUCCCGUGGAUUUUUCCCCAAAUUCUCCCCAUUCCUGUGGAUUUUUCCCCAAGUUCUCCCCAUUCCCGUGGGUUUUUCCCCGGAUUCUCCCCAUUCCCAUCAGUUUUUCCCCAAAUUCUCCCCAUUCCUGGUGUUUUUCCCCAAAUUCUCCCCAUUCCCGUGGAUUUUCCCCCGGAUUCUCCCCAUUCCCAGAGUUUUUUUCCCCCAAAUUCUCCCCAUUCCCGUGGAUUUUCCCUGGAUUCUCCCCAUUCCCGUUGUUUUUUCCCCCAGAUCCUCCCCAUUCCCAUGGAUUUUCCCCCAAAUCCUCCCCAUUCCCAUGGAUUUUUCCCCAUUUCCCAUGGAUUUUUCCCCAAAUCCUCCCCAUUCCCGGUGGUUUUUCCCCAUUUCCCAUGGAUUUUUCCCCAUUCCCGGUGUUUUUUCCCCAAAUCCUCCCCAUUCCCAUGGGUUUUUCCCCAUUCCCAUGGAUUUUCCCCCAGAUCCUCCCCAUUCCCAUGGGUUUUUCCCCAUUCCCGGUGUUUUUUCCAUGGAUUUUUCCCCAUUCCCAUGGAUUUUUCCCCAGAUUCUCCCCAUUCCCAGUGUUUUUUCCCCCAGAUCCUCCCCAUUCCCGGUGUUUUCUCCCCAUUUCCCAUGGAUUUUUCCCCAUUCCCAGUGUUUUUUCCCCGGAUUUUUCCCCAUUCCCAUGGAUUUUUCCCCAUUUCCCAUGGAUUUCUCCCCAUUCCCGGUGUUUUUUCCCCGGAUUUUUCCCCAUUCCCGGUGUUUUCCCCCCGGAUCCUCCCCAUUCCCGGUGUUUUCUCCCCAUUUCCCAUGGAUUUUUCCCCAUUCCCGGUGUUUUUCCCCCGGAUCCUCCCCAUUCCCGGUGGUUUCCCAUGGAUUUUUCCCCAUUCCCGGUGUUUUUCCAUGGAUUUUUCCCCAUUCCCGGUGUUUUU
Cyanistes caeruleus (blue tit) is the source of this 2324-nucleotide long non-coding RNA. NCBI's taxonomy places the organism in Eukaryota, Metazoa, Chordata, Aves, Passeriformes, Paridae. The record is from Ensembl.